Molecule: ribosomal RNA, 1299 nt
Filed under: Siphlonurus aestivalis
Lineage: Eukaryota; Metazoa; Arthropoda; Insecta; Ephemeroptera; Siphlonuridae
Description: large subunit ribosomal RNA
Rfam family: Archaeal large subunit ribosomal RNA (bases 598-1299)
Source: RNAcentral
UAAUUUACUCUAGUUAAAAUUGAAAGGUUAAAAAUUAUAUUAGGUAAAUCAUUAUAAGAUUAGAUGUUUGAGUAUAGGGUAUUGAAAAGAUUCAUAAAACAAAAGAGAAAGUACUGUGAAGGAAAGAUGAAAUAUUUGAAAAAUAAAUUAUUUAAAAGUAGAUUAAAUAUCGUACCUUGUGUAUCAGGGUUUAUCAAAUAAUAUAGGGAACUUUCUUACUUCCCGAUUUGAAGAGGGCUAAAACAAUAAUUUAGUUAAAGUGACAAAUUUAUUAAUAAUAUUGUUUUAGUAAUGAAACAUUAAUCGAUUUUCAAGGUUUCUGGUUCCUUAAGAAAUGAAUUUAAUUCAGAUAGUUUAAGUAGAAGUGAUUUAUAUAAAUCUUUUUCUUUUAUGUUAUUAAUAACACGAGGGAUAAGCUUCGUGUUAUCUCUAUAAUAAAAUGAUUUGAGGGGAUAAGUAGGCUUGAAAGCAGCCAUCAAAUAAAGAACGUUAUAGUCUAUCCCCAGUUGUUUGAAUUUUUUAGUAUUUAGUUUAUUCAUUAAGGCAUAACUUUGAAUUUUCUUAAGUUAGGGAUAAUGAUAGAAUUAUUAUAAGUUUAAAUGUAAGUAUUUUAUAUAAGUUAGGUCUUAAUAAGGAACUCGGCAAAUUAGCGCUCGCCUGUUUAUCAAAAACAUCGCCUUUUGCAAAAUAUAGAAGGUCUAGCCUGCCCACUGAAUUAUUAAAGGGCCGCGGUAUUUUGACCGUGCAAAGGUAGCAUAAUCAUUAGUCUUCUAAUUAAAGGCUGGUAUGAAUGGUUGGACGAGGUGUUAACUGUCUCAUUAAGAUUAAAUUAGAAUUUAACUUUUUAGUCAAAAGGCUAAAAUAAGAUUGGAGGACGAGAAGACCCUAUAGAGCUUGAUAUUUGAAAAGUCUAGUCUUUUUAGAUGAAUUUUGACUUGACCUUAAAAAUAUUUCGUUGGGGUGACGGGGAGAUAAAAUAAACUCUUUCUAAAAUUUUACAUUGAUGUAUGAUUAAUUGAUCCAUUAAUAGUGAUUAUAAGACUAAGUUACCUUAGGGAUAACAGCGUAAUCUUUUUCAAGAGUUCUAAUCGACAAAAAGGGUUGCGACCUCGAUGUUGGAUUAAGGGUUAUUUUUGGGUGUAGAAGUUCAAAGUUUGGGUCUGUUCGACCCUUGAAUCCUUACAUGAUCUGAGUUCAGACCGGCGUAAGCCAGGUCGGUUUCUAUCCUCAAUUAGUUAAAAUAUUUUAGUACGAAAGGACCAAAUAUUUAAGAUAAUCUUUAAUUUUAGAAUACUAUUA